Molecule: long non-coding RNA, 2051 nt
Organism: Eriocheir sinensis (Chinese mitten crab)
Lineage: Eukaryota; Metazoa; Arthropoda; Malacostraca; Decapoda; Varunidae
Exons: 4
Source: RefSeq, a predicted model, not a curated record
CCCCUCCUCUCACUCCCUCCCUUCCUCCCUUUCUUCAAAACAUCAUAUUGUUCCUUCUCUUAAACCCCACUUCUUCCCUCCUAUUUGUCCUUCUCCAUGUCUCUUCCUGUCGCUCCCUAUGGGCUGGGAAGGAAGUGAAGGAAAGCGAGAAGGAAGGAAGGCGGUGGGAGGGUAGGCGGGAAGGGAGAGAGGGAGGAGGAUCUGUGUAGUGGAGGAUGACAAAAAUGAUUCACGGGUUGAGGAACUUGCCAUAAUUAUGAGGAUAGACUUAAAGAUUUGAAUUGAAGGUUGCGAGGAGACUUGAUCGAAGCUUAUAAAUCAGUGAAGGGCUUUAAUAAGGGGGAUGUUAUUAAUGUUCUGGUGGUAAGAGAGCCGGGGAGGACACGUAUUAAUGGUUUCAAGCUAUAGAAAUUCUGCUUGAACAAAGAUACAGGCAAGAAUUUGUUUACCAAUAUGGCGGUGGAUGAGUGGAACAGGCUUGGCAGUCAUAUUGUGAGUGCCGAUACGAUAGAUACAUUCAGGAAGAGGUUAGAUAAAUUCUUGGGUAGUGAAAUUAGGUGGGGUUAGGCUUACAGGAGCAGCCUUGUAAAGACCUACCCGCCUCCUCCAGACUCUUAUGCUUUUUAUAUUUCUUGAAACUUACAUCGGUAGCGUACGGAAAAUAACGUGGUAAAGUUCCGCUUGUGUACAGUUUACUGGCGUUUCACAUAGCUUACGGGCGUAUCGUUUCGCAUAGGUUACGGACGUAUUGUUUCGCAUAGGUUACGGGGGUAUCGUUUCGCAUAGGUUACGGGGGUAUCGUUUCGCAUAGGUUACGGGGGUAUCGUUUCGCAUAGGUUACGGGGGUAUCGUUUCGCAUAGGUUACGGGGGUAUCGUUUCGCAUAGGUUACGGACGUAUUGUUUCGCAUAGGUUACGGACGUAUUGUUUCGCAUAGGUUACGGACGUAUUGUUUCGCAUAGGUUACGGGGGUAUCGUUUCGCAUAGGUUACGGACGUAUUGUUUCGCAUAGGUUACGGGGGUAUCGUUUCGCAUAGGUUACGGGGGUAUCGUUUCGCAUAGGUUACGGACGUAUCGUUUCGCAUAGGUUACGGGCGUAUCGUUUCGCAUAGGUUACGGGCGUAUCGUUUCGCAUAGGUUACGGGCGUAUCGUUUCGCAUAGGUUACGGGCGUAUCGUUUCGCAUAGGUUACGGGCGUAUCGUUUCGCAUAGGUUACGGACGUAUUGUUUCGCAUAGGUUACGGGGGUAUCGUUUCGCAUAGGUUACGGGCGUAUUGUUUCGCAUAGGUUACGGGCGUAUCGUUUCGCAUAGGUUACGGACGUAUUGUUUCGCAUAGGUUACGGGGGUAUCGUUUCGCAUAGGUUACGGGCAUAUCGUUUCGCAUAGUGUACCGGUUUCGUCUUGUUCACGGGCGUGCUGUGUGCGGGCGUGUAAUCAGCGGGCACACAGUUCGGGAUGCCUCGGGGCCGGGGUCGAGGAGGAGGCGGCCUCUUCGGCGAAGGUGUCGCCGGCUGCCCUUCUGCUGGGCCAGGGCCGGCAGCCGCCUCAACUUCGAGCCCCGCGCCAGAGGCAUCCUCGCCCGCCUCAAGGGUUUUGUUGAAAACUCUGGAGGCGAGACGAAUAUUAUAAUCGAUGAAUAAAGCGGUGACAGCCGCUGACGCAGUGUUUGUGAGUUUUGGGAUGGAAGUGAAGGAUGGCGCGGAGGGAGGGAAACUUGCCGCCGAGGGCCCUCAAGUUCCUGCCUGUCCCUGCACUUAGCACGGCGGGUUUCCACGCACCAAUUCUCUUCUUGCAAUGGUUGCCUGUGUUUGGUUGGUUAUAAUAUAACUAAUAGAACUUAUAUUAUUAGUUCAUGGACAGAAUGAACAGAGUCCUGUCAAGAUGGUGGAUUGACAGGCUCAUUAAAUACCUCCACCAGGCGCGUUGAUUGUUGUGGCUGCAGCCUGUGUCGCGACCCUUCCCUUUGUUCACUCACGUUACCGAAGAGAUUGGGGAAAUGGGCAAGGCUUAUAAAAGGCAUGGUAGAAGUAAGGAAGGAAGAAAGGAAGGUA